Molecule: ribosomal RNA, 220 nt
Filed under: uncultured fungus
Lineage: Eukaryota; Fungi
Description: partial 18S ribosomal RNA
Rfam family: Eukaryotic small subunit ribosomal RNA (bases 49-220)
Source: RNAcentral
GAAUCAAUUUUGUCGGUCGUGCCCUUUGGUACGUACUGGUAUUAUUGGUUUCUAUCUUCUGAAGAACCUUGAUGUCAUUAAUUUGAUGUCCUGGGAAAUCAGGACUGUUACCUUGAAAAAAUUAGAGUAUUUAAAGCAGGCAUGCGCUUGAAUACAUUAGCAUGGAAUAAUAAAAUAGGACGUUCGAUUCUAUUUUGUUGGGUUUUAGGAUUGACGUAAU